Long non-coding RNA from Monodelphis domestica (gray short-tailed opossum), 1640 nucleotides. The record is from Ensembl. NCBI's taxonomy places the organism in Eukaryota, Metazoa, Chordata, Mammalia, Didelphimorphia, Didelphidae.
UUUUAGUUGAUUCUCUAGGAUUUUUUAAGUAGACCAUCAUAUCAUCCACAAAGAGUGAUAGCUUGGUAUUCCUCGUUGCCAAUUUUAAUACCUUCAAUUUCUUUUCCUUUUCUAAUUGCUACUGCUAAUGUUUCUAGUACAAUGUUGAAUAAUAGAGGUAAUAAUGGGCAUCCUUGUUUGACUCCUGAUCUUAUUGGGAAGGCUUCCGAGUUUAUCCCCAUUGCAUUGCUGAUGUUUUUAGAUAAAUACUGUUUGUUAUUUUUAGGAAAGACCCUUCUAUUCUUAUACUUUCUAGUGUUUUCAAUAGGAAUGAAUGUUUAUUUUGUCAAAGUUUUUUUCUGCAUCUAUUGAGAUAAUCAUGUGAUUUCUUUCAGUUUGGUUGUUAUGGUCUGCUGAUUAACUAGAUUAGGCUGGUGGAGAAUUAAUGAGCCCUGAGGUCAGAUCUUCCCCAGCUAGUCACAGAAGCUGAAGGUGUAGGUGAAGGUGUGGAGGCUAAAGGGAGCUAUGCUUCCCACCCGGUUAUCAAGAGAAGAUUUUGUGUGAUGAUCCCAUAAAGUGUUCUGAACCUGAAGCCUACUUUGUACAGCUAGAAAGGAUGUCAGAGGUCAUCUAGUUCAACACCUAAUUUUAUAAAAGAGAAAACUGAAGCCCACUGAAGAAAAACUUUGUAAUGAAAAAGAAGGAUCAAAAAUGGCCAACAUGGAGUUAAGACCUAAGGGGCUGACUCUCCUCCUUGUGACCUGUCUGCCAAUGGGAGAAGCAGUCAUGGGACAUCCUUCAGAUCUCCAGGCAGGUCCCCACCUACCUAGGACCCAGGCAUUCACCGAGGACACGCCCCUAAAGACCAUGUGUCUGCAGCCUUUCCCUCCCUCUUCAAGUUUUGGCUACUCCUCUAUGGGAUAUAUAUUUGUAUACAUUUCUAACCUUGUCACUUCUCUAGUUACUUCUAGUGUAGAAGCACUCAUGGGAGUCACCCAGAUGCCACUGUAAACUUGGUAACUAUUCUAGCCUGAAGUCCUGGACAUUGCCUAUAGUCAAUACCUCUCUCCUAGGGACAGCUCUACAACAAUUCUCAGCUCUGAAGAAGCUACAGAAGACUGAGACCAUCACCCCUUUUCCCUUAGAUAUUUGAAGGGGGGAAGUGUCAUAGGCACUGUAUACCCAGAAACUCAGGCAGACUAUUGUCAGGGAAAUUCCUUUGCUCCCUUACAUCCUCGUGAUGCUGAUCAUACAAGGCUAGUUAAUCACUGAGUAGGCUUUGUCAAGGAUCGCAUUAAUUCAGUCCAGCUCAUGGUCCUUAGACUGCAUUAUCAACCCCUUGCAACUUGCCCAGCCCCUUAUGAUGAGGCCAUCUCCAUGGAUGAUUCAUCAUGUUUCAUGAAAAGAAGUGGGGAAUGAAGGAGGUUAAAUGACCGCCCCCUGGGGCAUCAGGGGUAAACUCUUGCCCAAGUCAGUAUAACCAUUCCAGCAGCUAAGCAGACACUCCCUGUAAGGUAAACAUCUCAAUCCAAAAUAUUCUGUUAUUCACAUUUCAUUCAAGCCUCCCAUGCUAUAUAAAGUAUGCCCCUAGCUGAGCCGGGUGUGGCUCCUCUUUUGGGGCAACCCUAGCAUGCUGGUAAUAAAGGUGAUCCAUUGCCUAC